Molecule: long non-coding RNA, 1634 nt
Organism: Esox lucius (northern pike)
Lineage: Eukaryota; Metazoa; Chordata; Actinopteri; Esociformes; Esocidae
Source: Ensembl
GUUUGUUUUUUGUCCUUUGUUUUUGAAUGUAGCUUGUCCUUCUGUAUUAUUGAUUACUCCUGUGUCUUGUUAACACCCUAUUUAUUCAGUUCGUUUUUCCAGUUUCAUUGUGAAGUGUUGUUUCUAUGUUAUGACUCUACUAAGCCAGUUGCUCUGCAAAACUUUUGGAUAGCCCUUACAUGUACCGAGUUCUUUCACCUGUUUUUUCCUACUAACGAUUAUUAGUCUUGUCCCUGCCUGUACUUUUGCCUGCUUUUCUGUUAUCGACCUUGCCUGUUACUGACCACGGGUUUUGCCUGUUCCUGGUCCUGUGAUUAAACCUAUGGUCUCUGUGCUUGGAACCACCACCUGCCUGUGUUGUACUCUUACAGCCAGCUCCCUGGCAUCAACAUGGGACAACCAACCCUGGUCUCUCCAAGCAUGAACAUGGGACAACCAGCCCUGGUCUCUCCUAGCAUCAACAUGGGACAACCAACCCUGGUCUCUCCUAGCAUGAACAUGGAACAACCAGCCCUGGUCUCUCCUAGCAUGAACCUGGGACAACCAACCCUGGUCUCCCUUGGCAUCAACAUGGGACAACCAACCCUGGUCUCUCCUAGCAUGAACAUGGGACAAACAACCCUGGCCUCCUUUAGUUCACAAUGAACAUCAGCAUGAGACUACGUGUGUGCGCGUGUGAUGUGGAAUGUGAUUCACAGAGACAUCUGCUCCACACCUACAUUUGCCAGACACAACCACCUUUACCAUAACAUGGUCAACCGGUGGGAUGACACGGUAUCCUGGGCAUGUAUCGACAGCUCAGGAAUGAGCCUGCAAUUCUGGACUAUGGAACGGUGCAGAGGGUAGCCAGUGAAUUCAUCAGGCACAUUUAAACCUAACAAGGGGCUGUGGUUAAUGAUUCAGUAUCAUGUCAUGAUUGGCUGUGUUCUUACCCUUCUUUUUAACACCACUGUUCUAUGUGAGAACGCAAGCUGCCAAACGAGCCUAAUCUGUCAUACAACUGAGAUGAUUUCCAGACAGUUAAGAACUUAAUUUGUCCUCAAAGUGCAGCUAAAUGCCUGUCACAUAUUGUCUCCAUAAGGACUUCACACUCUUAGGGGUGUGGUCUGGCCCAAGGGCAUUGGUGGUUUUGAAUUGAAGGUGCUGGCUUAGGCAAUUACUCACAGCAAAGAGUGUGAUCCCAAGUUUAUGUGCCAGUGAAAGGGGUGUGGAGGACAGGGAGAGAGUUUCUUAGGAUUGUUCUGAGCUGAAGGAAAACAUGUCAGAGAAAAGGGCAUAAAAACUGGAAAUGUACACAGACAUCACCGCACUGAGAUAUGGUGACACAUGAUUGUUGCUUAAUGGAUUACUCCCCUGUACAAUAAAUCAAAAUGUAAACACAGCUGUUGUCUUUCAGUCACUGGGUUAGGCUGUGCCAGGUCCUUAAAACCAAUGAUCAGUGUAAUCAAGGAUUGACAUUAAUGUAGUUUUAAAAUGCAACCGCCUUUUGCGCUUGUUUGGUCAAUUCUCAGUGUAACAUUGUGUUCCUGCCGCCCUGAACAUCCAUUAUAGAAGCCUAGUUCUGAGAUUCUCUAUAAUAUCAUGUGUGGUGACUUGCUAAGGGCUGUGAAACAUUAUUACAUGAAAAGUUUUUC